RNAcentral lists this long non-coding RNA (242 nucleotides) under Elaeis guineensis (African oil palm). RNAcentral describes it as "long non-coding RNA (EGUI_LNC015864)". Lineage: Eukaryota; Viridiplantae; Streptophyta; Magnoliopsida; Arecales; Arecaceae. The record is from RNAcentral.
GUUCAAAAGAUUGCUGUUUACGUAAACAAAAUAUCCAUUUGCUGUCAUUUCCAUAAAAAAUAUUUAGUAUCCUUUUGUUUAAGUUGCUCUCUAAUUGUCACAACAAGUUCUUUUGAUUUCAUCAAGCGUUCCUUGAUUCACCUUUGAAAGAAUUCCAAAAUCAAAUGGUUUUGAGUUUUAUUAUUUAGUUUGAGUGAGCUUAAAAGAGCUAGUACAACUAAGAACAGAGAAUCUGCUCGAGA